RNAcentral lists this ribosomal RNA (504 nucleotides) under uncultured bacterium. Its description in RNAcentral is "partial 16S ribosomal RNA". It matches the Rfam family "Bacterial small subunit ribosomal RNA", at positions 29 to 523 of the family's 1533-position model. The record is from RNAcentral.
AUUGAACGCUGGCGGCAGGCCUAACACAUGCAAGUCGAACGGUAGCACAGAGAGCUUGCUCUCGGGUGACGAGUGGCGGACGGGUGAGUAACGUCUGGGAAACUGCCCGAUGGAGGGGGAUAACUACUGGAAGCGGUAGCUAAUACCGCAUAACGUCGCAAGACCAAAGUGGGGGACCUUCGGGCCUCACACCAUCGGAUGUGCCCAGAUGGGAUUAGCUAGUAGGUGGGGUAAUGGCUCACCUAGGCGACGAUCCCUAGCUGGUCUGAGAGGAUGACCAGCCACACUGGAACUGAGACACGGUCCAGACUCCUACGGGAGGCAGCAGUGGGGAAUAUUGCACAAUGGGCGCAAGCCUGAUGCGGCCAUGCCGCGUGUAUGAAGAAGGCCUUCGGGUUGUAAAGUACUUUCAGCGGGGAGGAAGGCGGUGGAGUUAAUAACUUCACCGAUUGACGUUACCCGCAGAAGAAGCACCGGCUAACUCCGUGCCAGCCGCCGCAGUAA